Molecule: ribosomal RNA, 253 nt
Filed under: uncultured bacterium
Lineage: Bacteria
Description: partial 16S ribosomal RNA
Rfam family: Bacterial small subunit ribosomal RNA
Source: RNAcentral
UACGUAGGGAGCUAGCGUUGUUCGGAAUUACUGGGCGUAAAGCGCACGUAGGCGGAUCUUUAAGUCAGGGGUGAAAUCCUGGAGCUCAACUCCAGAACUGCCUUUGAUACUGAGGACCUUGAGUUCGGGAGAGGUGAGUGGAACUGCGAGUGUAGAGGUGAAAUUCGUAGAUAUUCGCAAGAACACCAGUGGCGAAGGCGGCUCACUGGCACGAUACUGACGCCGAGGUGCGAAAGCGUGGGGAGCAAACAGG